This 826-nucleotide long non-coding RNA is filed under the name Mytilus galloprovincialis (Mediterranean mussel). The record is from RNAcentral. Lineage: Eukaryota; Metazoa; Mollusca; Bivalvia; Mytilida; Mytilidae.
CAGUAUUGUGCAAUAGCAAGAAAUUUUCAAUUGCACAGUAUUGCGCAAUAGCAAGAAAUCUUCAAUUGCACAGUAUUGUGCAAUAGCAAAUAUUUUCAAUUGCAUAGUAUUGCGCAAUAGCAAGAAAUAUCUAAUUGCACAAUAUUGUGCAAUAGCAAGAAAUUUUCAAUUGAUUGGAGUUAUCUUUCUUUGUCCAGAAUAGUAGUUGAAUCAACUUAAAUCAUUGUUUUAUACAAUACACAAUGUAUAUUCACUUUUACUACCAACUGAUAAAUUAAAACAAUCUUUACCAUUCAGUGAUACCAAGCACUUUUUGUUACAUUUUAAUAUUUUAUGAUGUAUUUAAAUGAGUAGUUAUUGUUGCAAACUCCAUUAGAAAUUUGAAUUGAGAUCAGUUUUGAAAAAGGGAAAGGGGGAUGUGAAAAAAAAAUGGUGGGGGGGGGGGGUUAAAUUUUUCUCAUUUCAGAUUUCAUAAAUAAAAAGAAAAUUUCUUCAAACAUUUUUUUGAGAGGAUUAAUAUUCAACAGCAUAGUGAUUGCUCAAAGACAAAAAAAAUAUUUUAAGUUCAUUAGACCACAUUCAUUCUGUGUCCAAAACCUAUGCUGUGUCAACUAUUUAAUCACAAUCCAAAUUUAGAGCUGAAUCCAGCUUGAAUGUUGUGUCCAUACUUGCCCUAACCGUUCAGGGUUCAACCUCUGUGGUCGUAUAAAGCUGCGCCCUGCGGAGCAUCUGGUUGAGUUUUGGUCUUUUUAUCUUAUACUAUAUGUCAUAGGUCAACUAUAUUUGGUGUAUGGAAAUAUUUUAUGAUCUAUAUGUCAAUCGUGCA